Molecule: ribosomal RNA, 253 nt
Filed under: uncultured bacterium
Lineage: Bacteria
Description: partial 16S ribosomal RNA
Rfam family: Bacterial small subunit ribosomal RNA
Source: RNAcentral
UACGUAGGGGGCGAGCGUUGUCCGGAGUUACUGGGCGUAAAGGGCAUGCAGGCGGUCGGACGCGUUUCGGGUGACAGCGGGUGGCUUAACUACCCGAGUGGUCGAAAGACGGUUUGACUUGAGGACGCGAGAGGGACACGGAAUUCCGGGUGGAGUGGUGAAAUGCGUAGAGAUCCGGAGGAACACCGAAGGCGAAAGCACUCUGCUGGGCCGACACUGACACUGAGAGACGAAAGCUAGGGGAGCGAAUGGG